AUUGAACGCUGGCGGCAUGCCUUACACAUGCAAGUCGAACGGCAGCGGGGGAGAAGCUUGCUUUUCCUGCCGGCGAGUGGCGAACGGGUGAGUAAUACAUCGGAACGUGCCCUGUAGGGGGGGAUAACUGGUCGAAAGAUUAGCUAAUACCGCAUACGACCUGGGGGUGAAAGUGGGGGCCGCAAGGCCUCAUUGUAUAGGAGCGGCCGAUGUCUGAUUAGCUAGUUGGUGGGGUAAAGGCCUACCAAGGCGACGAUCAGUAGCUGGUCUGAGAGGACGAUCAGCCACACUGGGACUGAGACACGGCCCAGACUCCUACGGGAGGCAGCAGUGGGGAAUUUUGGACAAGGGGCGAAAGCCUGAUCCAGCAAUGCCGCGUGUGUGAAGAAGGCCUUCGGGUUGUAAAGCACUUUUGUCCGGAAAGAAAUGGCUCUGGUUAAUACCUGGGGUCGAUGACGGUACCGGAAGAAUAAGGACCGGCUAACUACGUGCCAGCCGCCGCGGUAA
RNAcentral lists this ribosomal RNA (507 nucleotides) under uncultured bacterium. Its description in RNAcentral is "partial 16S ribosomal RNA". It matches the Rfam family "Bacterial small subunit ribosomal RNA", at positions 30 to 523 of the family's 1533-position model. The record is from RNAcentral.